This 1768-nucleotide long non-coding RNA is filed under the name Sus scrofa (pig). Its description in RNAcentral is "lncRNA (ENSSSCG00005020048.1)". The record is from RNAcentral. Lineage: Eukaryota; Metazoa; Chordata; Mammalia; Artiodactyla; Suidae.
GAUGAGGCUGUGUCCAGAUCCACUUCAGUCUGACAGGGCUGUAGAUGGUGUUCUUUCCUCAGAAGGUAGUUAUGUCUUGCUCUCUCUCUGAUGUUAGUGGCCAGUGAUACUCAAUGUCUAGGUCCAGUAAUUAUUGAGGAUUGUGAAAUAGUGAUAUUUUAAUUGAAUUUUUAAAUUGGUACUAGGGUAAUUUUAUAAAGAAACCAUUUCCUCAUCUAUUACUUGGUUUGCCAGUGGUAUAGUUCAUACAGGAAAGGCAAGAAAAUGAUUCUUUCGCCUUUAUUUUAGCAAUUUUACCUAUUUAUUUUGGGGGGGGAGUGCCCCAUGACAUAUGGAGUUCCUGGGCCAGGGAUCAGAUCCUUUAACUCACUGUGCCUGGCCAGGACUCAAACCCACGUCCUAUCAGAUUCAUUAACCACUGAGCCAUGAGGGGAACUCUUUUUUCUUUUCUUUUUCUAUUCUUUAAAUUUUUGUAAUACUAGUUAGAUUUCUUCCUCAGAUGUUUAGGAGACUUUACUGGGGAAGCUUUCUGGGCUUGCUGGAUUCUUUGUGGGAAGGUUAUUAAUUACUUAUUUGGUGUCUUGAUUUGGUAGAGAACUAUUCAGAUUUAAUUUUUCUGUUCACUUGUGGUAAAUGGUGUCUCAAGGAGUUUAUUUCACUUAGAAUUUCAAAUUAAGUAGUACAAAGUUAUUCAUAAUCUUUAUAUUUUGGACUUUGUAGUGAUGUCUUUUACAUUUCCAAUGGUAGUAAUUUGUGUUUUCGCCGUUUUUUUCUUAAUCAUUCUUGAUAGUCUUAUCAAUCAUAUUAAUCUUUUUAUAGAACUUUUUGCUUUUUAAAAAAAAUAAACUAUUGGAUUAUAGCUGACAGAAACUUUUGCUUUGAUUUUUUCUCAGUUUUAUGUUUAAAAUCUGUUUUGUUGAUUUCUACUCUUAUGAAUUUCUUCUACCUUUUCUGGGUUUAAUUUACUGCUCUUUUUCUGUCUUCUUGAGAGCAAAGCUUAAAUCAGUGAUUUUUUUUCAGUCAUUUUUUUCUCCUCUAAGAUGUGCAUUUGAACCUGUAAAUUAUCCUGUAAGCACUACUUUAACUUCAUCCCACAAAUUUUGAUGUGUUUCGUUUUCCUUAUCUUUCAGUACAGUCAAAAUAGUGUCUCAUUUCUUUUUUAACCCCUGGGUUGUUUAGUUUGCCUAAUUUCCAAUAUUUAGAAAUUUCCUAGUUAUCUUUCUUUUACUGACUUUUGUCAUGUAAUAAUUACUGUAUGGUUCCAAGCCCAGCAAAUUUGUUGAGGCCAGCGUUGUUGUUCAGCAUGUAGUCCAUUUUGUAAAUGUUCUGGUGCGUUUGAAAAGAAGGUGUUUUCUGUAGUUGUUGGGUGGAGUGACCUAUAAAUGUCAAGUCACCUGUCUGAUAAUGCUCUUCAACCCUUUUGUCCAGCUGUGGAUGUGAAAUUGUCUUAUUUCUCUAAGGUCUCUCAACUGAAGAGGUAUCUAUUUUGAAACUAUAUUAUUAAGUUCAUACAAAUUUAGCAGUGUUGUAUCUUUUGUGAGUUGGCCCUCUUACCUGGAUGAAAUCUCCCUUGUCUGUAAUGAUACUUUUUUUGGUAAUGUCUCUUUUGUCUGAUAUUAGUAUAUUCAUAGAGUUUUUUAUUGGUUGUGUUGUAUGGGUUGGAGGGGCAUAAAGUAGUUGAAAAGAGAAUUUCAACAGAUAGAAUUUGUUUUUGUUUUUGUGUGUCUUUGGCAUGCAGACGUUCCUGGGCCAGGGAUUGAACCCAAAC